AGCGGGACAGGCGGUCGCGUCAUGGCCAGACCAUGAUGAGGAAAGUCCGGGCUUCACUGGGCAGGAUGCCAGCUAACAGCUGGGUACGGCGACGUAACGGAUCAGUGCCACAGAAAAGAAAACUCCCCGGUUAUACGGAGAAAAGCUGAAAAGGUGCGGUAAGAGCGCACCAGCGCCACGGUAACGUGGCGGCUUGGUAAACCCCAUCCGAAGCAAGAGCAAAUAGGAGCACAGAGGGCUGGCCCGGUCCGUGCUCGGGUUGCUUGCUAGAGCUGCUUGGCAACAUGCAGUCGAGAUAAAUGGCCGUCCAAAGGACAGAACCCGGCUUAUAGCCCCACUCC
Molecule: RNase P RNA, 341 nt
Filed under: bovine gut metagenome
Description: Bacterial RNase P class A
Rfam family: Bacterial RNase P class A
About the family: Ribonuclease P (RNase P) is a ubiquitous endoribonuclease, found in archaea, bacteria and eukarya as well as chloroplasts and mitochondria. Its best characterised activity is the generation of mature 5'-ends of tRNAs by cleaving the 5'-leader elements of precursor-tRNAs.
Source: RNAcentral